Molecule: long non-coding RNA, 4364 nt
Organism: Brassica napus (rape)
Lineage: Eukaryota; Viridiplantae; Streptophyta; Magnoliopsida; Brassicales; Brassicaceae
Exons: 10
Source: RefSeq, a predicted model, not a curated record
AGCGACUGUGCGAAACAAACGAAACAGAGACCAAAGAUUCAUGCCCUGCAAAGAGACAUUGGAGUGUUGGGAUCGGGGAUGUUCAAUUUCAAUCUGUGUUGUAAAUUGAUUUGACUGACUGAGGAGAGAUUGGCUUACCUGAGGUCCAUCUGAUUCCGCCGUUGUCAUUGAUCCUCGGCUGCCUCGUCGGCGUCGUAUGUUACACCUGCAAGAGAGGCCACAUAUAGCUGACCAUGGCUGAAGACUGGUUUAGGCAAGUAUAGAGCAACGUUUGAUAAAGUCUGGCCUUGGCUUUUAUUCACUGUCAUCGCAUAGCAAACUCGGAUUGGAAACUGGCGACGUUUCAAGGUGAAAGGAUGGUUGGAUUCUAGUGGUGACAGGAUGAUCCGUGGCAGCAGGAUAGGAUCUGUCUUCUUUGUAGCAGUUACGCAGGAGCAUGACUGGGACACCCACUUUCAGCCGGAGUUUGUGAGCUGGUAGGCCUGGGAACUCCAAGGAGUUCAGAUAUUCCAAUGGGUAGGACAUUUUGAACUCCUCUGAAUGCUGUUCAUCCUCUGCAAAGGUGUCUGCACUUAAGUAUUCUCUGUCUGGUCCAGGUCCGUGUAUUGGUUUGCAAAAUCUGGAAAAGCAGAAGAACAUAGUGUCUCCAAAGGAGUUGAAGUUCUAGGGAGGAGGACAGUGUCAUCUAAGAAUAUUUUGUCCUCUGGUGUUUCACAGUCGCCUAGGCUAUGAGGCUCACCUGCUGCUACGCCAUCACCUACCUGAAGAAUCCAGUCUGCGAACUCUUUUUCUUCUGGCUCGACACGCAUGUUUUGGGUGAGUAGAAAAAUGUUACAGUGGUUCCAGAGGUGCGAACGAUUAAGAGCAGCGUUGACUGUCUCUUGUCUUGUUCCUUGUGGUAUAACUGGCAAAAUCUGGCGGAAAUCACCACCGAGAAGGACGGUUUUCCCCCCAAAAGGUUUCAUGGCGGCCGCUUUAUCUGAUACGGAUAUUAUAUCUCUGAGAGUACGAUCAACAGCCUCAAAGGCGUGGCGAUGUGCCAUGGGAGCUUCGUCCCAGAUGAUGAGGUCUGAUUCGCUGAGGAAGUUGGCGAGGAUUGAUCCAGUCUUCACUUCGCAGUAAGAAUCUUCAUAAAGCUUCAGAGGAAUACUGAACCUUGAAUGUGCUGUGCGACCACCAGGUAAGAGAAGGGCGGCAAUGGCGGAGGAUGCCACGGGUAUAACCUUUUUACUUCCUGAUCGUAAAGCUGCAAUGAUUGCUCUAUAUAGGAAUGUUUUCCCCGUUCCUCCUGCUCCAUAGAGAAAGAAUAGCUUGCCUUGGUGCUCACGAACGGACUUGAUCACUGCAUCAUAUACUGCCCGCUGUUGAUUGUUGAGCUUGCAGAAAAGUUCCUGGUGAACCUUUUGUUCUUCAGCUAAAUCAAACUGGUUGUGCCUCGCCAUUGCUCUAUUCUUCAUUUCGUCCAUGAUAGCUUUGUUUGGAAGUGGCAUGCCUGCAAACUCAGUCAAUGACUUCUCGUAGUUCUGAAGCAGGGUCUCUAUUUCAAUAAGUGUGUAUUGCUGCAGUUCGUCUGGGGUUAGCUGGAGGUCUGGGAAUCGAAGAAGGCGUCUCUGGCGCAUCAAGACAUCUUCUGCCAUAUAUUCCCAAGAAUGAUCCCAAAGUUUCCUUGGUUCUGAAACUUGACAGUAGAUGAGUAUUAGUACGAAGAGGUAGCGAAGAGAUCUUGGUGAUGAAAAUUGAGAUGCUUCAGACAUAGAAUCAUGCCAGUCCUUGUCUGUUCCGAGAAAGCCUCUAGCAUAGCAGGCUUCUUGAAAGGUACCUGUCUUCAACGUUCUGGAGGUCCUCAUUCUCAUCAAAAACAGCCAUGUGUUCGCCAGGAAGGUGAAUUGGUAAUUUCUGCACUGCUGGACUGUUGUGGUAAAUAUCAAACACAAAAAUUCUCCACAUCGACUCACAUGCUGAAAGGUACUUGAUGGCGCUUGAUUUGUUGCACCAUUCGACAUUGACAUGGGCCUUGUAUUUCUUCAAGAUCUGGAGGUUGUGGGGGACAACAAAUUGAUUAUCAAGCUUGAUCUUUCCCUUGGAAACAAACUGCCCAGUCUGUCUGCGCUUGUACAAGAUGUAGCCUGAUUCAUUAACUUGGGUGUGUGGAACAUAACUGCGGGGGAAUUUCUUUGUGCAAACACCAUUGUCCAUGCAAGGAGAUGAUAAUCUGUCUUUCCCACAGGGACCAUGCAUCAUGUGUUGCUCCACCAAACCAAAAGCUUCAGGGUCCUUUUCCUUGUCAGGGAGCUCUGCUGAGAUGAUGUUGUCAAUAUCAGCUGCAGUGGGAUUUCUGAAGUCCCCUUCGAGCCAUAGAAGUAUGUGGGCGUGUGGAAUGGUACCUGCUUUGGGUCUGGGAAAAAAUAUGCCUUUGUUGAAAUCUGACAUCAACUCAUCGAGCUUCAUCUUGAACACUCUAGACUCGAGGUCGGGCCGGUCGUUGGGAUCGUCGGUUCCAUACAGUUUGAGGUGGUCAGAUAGCUCUUCCCAUUUAGGAUUUGUUGUAAUAGUGAUAAAUAAGUCUGGAUUCCCGUGCCAUCGACAUAUUGCCAUCGCAUCAUGAUACUUUUCUGCCAUAUAACGGGGGCUGCCCGUAUAGCUGGAGGGUCUGCUCUGAUUUUCUUCUGGUUUAAGCGGAACCAACGCAACCUUUCCUGCUCUAUGCAUGUAAAAGCGUCAACAAUAUACUGGUGGAACAACCUUUUGGACCUCACAAUAACCAUGCCUUCAGCUAAGCGGGUUUGUAUUUGAUGAGCAAAGUACUCUCUUUUUGUGAUGUAGCCCCUUUUCCUAGGCUCUCCGUCAGUAUUUAUGACCGGUAUGUUCUCGUUGAAGCCUAUCUGUCCAUACGGGAAGAGGAUUGGGUAUUGCAAAGUCAUAAAGAGUGGGUGCAUAUCACUUAUAUGCUGCAGGCCUGAAGAUCUGUGUUGCACAAUUAUAUCUCUCUCGCCCAUAUCCUCCGUAAAGUCACCAACGAUCAGACCAGCAAUUUCAUCAGUUUGAGGCAUAUCAUAUUGACGAUCACGCUUUGACUUGCCUUUCAGUCUUAUGCUAAAUUCCUGGCAGCUAUCAGUUUCAUGGAUGUCUCUAGCUUUUCUGAAAAUCUUAGUCAGACAGUUGUGAGUGUCCAUUGUUUCUAUCAGCUCUUUUACUAUAUUAGGAUCCAGUUCACCUACUGUGGCCGUACGCUUGACAGUGGAGAUUCUAUUUUUAAUCUCAUUAGCGGUAUCGAUGAUGUAGAGCUGACUGAAUUUUGGAGGUUGUCCUGCUCCAGGAACCAAAGACCCGAUCCUGUGUGCAUUUUGACCAUGGAUUCUGAAAGUGAAAGGCCCUGUUUUGUGCAUUACGGAAUGAUCAAUCUGUGCGCCCAUUGACGUAAAUGCGAGGAUGGAGUUAUAUGUCCGGAUAUCAUGCUGGAAAUGUUUGGAGCUGAGGAGCAGUGUUUUCAAGGCGGGUGGAGCUUCUGGUUCUGGUGGGAGUUUUACUCGGCCUUGUUGACAGCAUAUACUGAAAAGCGGUAUUCUGUUAGGACCUCUGGUCCCUUUUUUUUCUUUCUCCCAAACCAGAGCAUGACAAAGGGGACAUUCUAUGAUCCCAUUAGUUGCCUUUUUAAGAGAUCGUGACGUCUUCCCAGAAGUGCGUGAUGUCCCUGAAGUGCGUGAUGACCUCCCUAAAGUGCGGGGUCUGGAGCCUACGCAAACAAAUGUUGCCAAAAGUUAGUAUGGGUGAUUGGUCAUUUCAUAUUUGAAGAGAGUAGGUGAAUCUGUUAUUUCCAUAUUCAAAAAAGUUGAAGACAAAGGAGGAGAAAGCUAUUCCAUGGUCGGAUAUCUUUUUGCUUACUUGGGUGCUUUCGGAUUGACUUCUUUGAUAAUAGUAUGGCUCGCCGCAUUUCCCUUGCUCUUCUUUGAGUAUCUGCAGGUCUAUGGGUGAAGCUUACCUUUACGGUUUGAGUUUUCGCCAGAGGAGCUAGGGAUCAUUGAUGACGUGUCUGAUCGGAGGAGAGUAUCUGCAGGUUUACGGGUGAAGCUCACCUUUACGGUUUGAGUUCUCGCCAGAGGAGCUAGGGAUAAUUGACGACGUGUCUGAUCGGAGGAGAGUGCUUUGUCUGUAGCGUUUGUUCCAUUCAGUUGCUGUUGGAUCGUCUGUUUUCCUUUUUCCCAUGAUGAACAGUUGUGAUUUUGGUGUAAAAACUCUGUGCGUGUUAGUCCUAAAGACGGGGUGUAGGAAUUCUGAUGAACAGUCGUGAUAUUGUUGGUUUGAUUACGUAACGUAUAUUUGUUGUGGAGACAUUUACAUAAUGAACCCCAUUUAUUUUCACUCUA